RNAcentral lists this ribosomal RNA (494 nucleotides) under uncultured bacterium. Its description in RNAcentral is "partial 16S ribosomal RNA". It matches the Rfam family "Bacterial small subunit ribosomal RNA", at positions 28 to 507 of the family's 1533-position model. The record is from RNAcentral.
GACGAACGCUGGCGGCGUGCUUAACACAUGCAAGUCGAACGGAAAGGCCUGCUUUCCCUUGUGGAUUGCGGGUACUCGAGUGGCGAACGGGUGAGUAACACGUGAGUGAUCUGCCCCCAACUUGGGUAUAAGCCUGGGAAACUGGGUCUAAUUCCCGAUAGGACUGCAGGGUGGUGCCUGUGGUGGAAAACGAUUUUCUAGUGGUUGGGGAUGAGCUCGCGGCCUAUCAGCUUGUUGGUGGGGUAAUGGCCUACCAAGGCGGGGACGGGUAGCCGGCCUGGGAGGGUGGACGGCCACAUUGGGACUGGGUUACGGCCCAGACGGCUGCGGGAGGCAGGAGUUGGGAAGAAUGCAGAAUAGGCGGAAGCGUGAUGCAGCGACGCCGCGUGGGGGAUGACGGCCUUCGGGUUGUAAACUCCUUUCGACCGCGAGGAAGCCACCUGGUUGGGAGGGUGGUGACGGUAGUGGAAGAGGAAGCACCGGCUAACUACGUG